UCCGGUUUGACACCGGCAGUCUCGCUAGAGUACUGGCUUUCGCCGAGCAACUAACGAUAGGGGUUGCGCUCGUUAGAGGACUUAACCCGACACUUCACAGCACGAGCUGACGACAGCCAUGCAGCACCUGUGAUCGUUCCACCCUUGCGGGUGUGGCUCCUGUUUCCAGGAGUUAAUCCGACCAUGUCAAACCCAGGUAAGGUUCUUCGCGUUGCCUCGAAUUAAGCAACAUGCUCCACCGCUUGUGUGAGCCCCCGUCAAUUUCUUUGAGUUUUAGCCUUGCGACCGUACUCCCCAGGCGGCGCGCUUAUCGUUUUUACUUCGACCGAUCCGGCGUCAGAGCCGCACCGAUCUAGCGCGCAUCGUUUACGGCGUGGACUAC
RNAcentral lists this unclassified non-coding RNA (382 nucleotides) under uncultured Phycisphaeraceae bacterium. Its description in RNAcentral is "contains 16S-23S intergenic spacer region". Lineage: Bacteria; Pseudomonadati; Planctomycetota; Phycisphaerae; Phycisphaerales; Phycisphaeraceae. The record is from RNAcentral.